GAUGAAGAACGCAGCGAAAUGCGAUACGUAAUGUGAAUUGCAAAUUCAGUGAAUCAUCGAGUCUUUGAACGCACAUUGCGCCCCCUGGUAUUCCGGGGGGCAUGCCUGUCCGAGCGUCAUUGCUGCCCUCAAGCACGGCUUGUGUGUUGGGCCCCGUCCUCCGAUCCCGGGGGACGGGCCCGAAAGGCAGCGGCGGCACCGCGUCCGGUCCUCGAGCGUAUGGGGCUUUGUCACCCGCUCUGUAGGCCCGGCCGGCGCUUGCCGAUCAACCCAAAUUUUUAUCCAGGUUGACCUCGGAUCAGGUAGGGAUACCCGCUGAACUUAAGCAUAUCAAUAAGCGGAGGA
RNAcentral lists this unclassified non-coding RNA (345 nucleotides) under soil metagenome. RNAcentral's name for it is "partial contains 5.8S ribosomal RNA, internal transcribed spacer 2, and large subunit ribosomal RNA". The stretch from base 1 to 119 matches the Rfam family "5.8S ribosomal RNA", at positions 35 to 154 of the family's 154-position model. The record is from RNAcentral.